UGGGUCACACUCCGAUCAUGUGACGCUGAGAGUAUUCCAGUUCCUGAGCUAAAAAUAAGUUGAUGACACUGUGUUCCGUUAACGAGUACAUGAUCUUAUCAGAGGACUCCGGGCUUUGAUCUGGAGUUCAUUCGCUUAAAAUCUUCAUAAUUAGUCUUCCUUGGGAACUCUGCACUGCCUUUCUCCGUCCUUAUUUGUUUCCUGUUGAACGAUCAACAGCUCCAACUUGCAAAUGGGUUAUGUCCCAUAGUUCACGUUCAAGUCUGUUGUUUGGAAUUUGGAACAGAUUUCUCCAGACAAACAAGUAUGGGCUGCCAAAGCAAGCACCCAGAAGAAGAAAUUCUGCCAUAAGACUACAGCAUUAAUCCCUGCCUGAGUUUCCAGCCUGCUGGCCUGUCCUUUGAAUUUCAGAUUUGCCAGCCCCUACAACCAGGAAGCCCAGCCCCUGACGGCUGACCCAUUCUGACGCUGACCUCAGCUCGCCUGUGACCGGGCAGCCACCAGGCCACCAGCCACAAGCGAGGAAGGUGGGCUCGUUCCCAAACGAUUUCCAGCUGGCCCCGACCUCCCUCUCCACAGGACGGACGCCUGACAUUCGAAGACUCAGUCCUGGAAUCGUAAGACUGUUCCUAGUCCACAAUAGAUGACCAGUGAUUGUCCCUCGCCUCGGACAGAUUCCGGAGUCAUUCAUGGAUUCCUAGAAAGUAGCGGGCCGCCUGUGCAUGCAAUGAAGCCAAGUAAAUGCAAAGGUAAUGCAGACGGGCUCACCGGAGAUGUUGCAGGACAGCCUUGGGCAUAGAGCCUGGGGACGGGGCGGGCACCGGCCGGGACAGCUUCGGUUCUCUGGCUCGGCUUGAGGGGCUCUGCUCCCCAUGGUUACUGUAUUGGAGUGCAGAUCCUUGGGCAGCAUGCAGCAGAUGUGAGCACAGUGUCUCAGUCAUGAAAUCAGCCUCUCCUCGGGACGGCGGAGGUCGUGCAUUCUUGCUGCAAUGCUCCUUUCAGAGCAGGGCGGGCUGUGACCCCAUCAGGACACUCACAGAGUGUCCUUGGAGCACGGGUCAGAGCUCCGAUUUUGUUUUCGCUCUCUCCCUUGGGCGCAGAGACCCGGAGAAGCCAGCUGUGGUGUCUGAUGUGAGUGACAAAUACGUUGCGUCUUCAAUAACCCACAUCACAGGAGCAUCACUCAGCUCGGGAGGCAGGCGAGCAGUCCCCUGGGCAUAAUUAGACGCGCGGUGGCGGUCUGAAUUCAGAACUUAGUGAGGUCUCAAAUGUCACCCACUCCCAACAUCACGGUAACCUGUGACGUGAUGGAGGAACCGCCCUGUGUUUUAGGAGGUACCCGGUCCGAAUGUCCCACUGAAAUGGCAGCAGUCUAGCUGAGAAUUUUAAGGGAAACCGUCUUUGGUUAGAUUUCAUCUGACACGAACAGUUCUGUUUGGGGCACAACACAGGGAUUCAAGAGUUGCACACAGGAAGCUACGCUCCCUGCCGUGCGUGUGGUCACCAUCUGUCACCAGCAUCACCUGCUGUCACUGUCCAUCCUGUGACUCUUUAUAACUGGAAGUUUGUGCCUCUCAAUCCCCUUCACCUACUUCGACCCUCCCCUCCGGAGACCUGUUUCCCUGUUUGUGUUUUAGGUUUCACAUGUAAGUGAAAUCUUUAAAUAAGCAAAAUGCUAAAUGAAACUGAUGUUUGCUUGUGAGUUAAGUCCUCUCUU
This is a long non-coding RNA of Mirounga angustirostris (Northern elephant seal), 1717 nucleotides long. RefSeq lists it as uncharacterized. The transcript has 6 exons. The record is from RefSeq and is a predicted model, not a curated record. NCBI's taxonomy places the organism in Eukaryota, Metazoa, Chordata, Mammalia, Carnivora, Phocidae.